RNAcentral lists this ribosomal RNA (254 nucleotides) under uncultured bacterium. RNAcentral describes it as "partial 16S ribosomal RNA". It matches the Rfam family "Bacterial small subunit ribosomal RNA", at positions 524 to 776 of the family's 1533-position model. The record is from RNAcentral.
UACGUAGGGCGCAAGCGUUGUCCGGAUUUAUUGGGCGUAAAGAGCUCGUAGGCGGUUCGGUAAGUCGGAUGUGAAAACUUUGGGCUCAACCCAAAGCGUGCACUCGAUACUGCCAUGACUAGAGUUCGGUAGGGGAGUGGGGAAUUCCUAGUGUAGCGGUGAAAUGCGCAGAUAUUAGGAGGAACACCGGUGGCGAAGGCGCCACUCUGGGCCGAAACUGACGCUGAGGAGCGAAAGCGUGGGUAGCAAACAGG